AUAAAGUUCUCUGCCUUUUGGCUAAGAUAAAGUGUAGCAUCUGUUCUUAUCCAUUUAAUAUCUGAUACAUGCCCUAUCCAGGGACCAUAUAUUAAAGUGAUUUUUGGAACAGGGAGAUGGAAUAGGGGCUUGCUCUGUCCACUCCAUGCAUCAACUUGGUAUUGCAGUAUUGCCAGGAAUGGUGCACCCCCC
Molecule: small nuclear RNA, 192 nt
Organism: Thalassophryne amazonica
Lineage: Eukaryota; Metazoa; Chordata; Actinopteri; Batrachoidiformes; Batrachoididae
Product: U2 spliceosomal RNA
Exons: 1
Source: RefSeq, a predicted model, not a curated record